This is a non-coding RNA of Lactuca sativa (garden lettuce), 2053 nucleotides long. The record is from RefSeq and is a predicted model, not a curated record. Lineage: Eukaryota; Viridiplantae; Streptophyta; Magnoliopsida; Asterales; Asteraceae.
AUGGACUAAACAACAAGGACUAUUCAUGUAAUUUAUUCUUAAAAAAAUAAUUCUUAGAAAAGAAAAAAGUAUGUAUAUGAUAAAUAACAUUGUUAACUCUAUGUAUUUUAUUAAAAUUAUUAUUGUAAAUUGCAUGAAAGUCACUAUAUUACUAUAAAAUUUUUAUUUUGACACUCUAUUUUUUUUUCUCAAUUAUAUGACUAUAUUUACAAUUUCGUUGCAAUGUCAACCAAAUGACCGAUUCUUCCUGUUCUCCCGAUAACAAUUUUUUCCAAAUUGCAAUAAAGUCACUUUGUUUACCAAAAUUUUAAUUUUUACAUUGAGUUUUAAAUUGCAAGAAAGUCAUUAUAUUACCACAAAAUUUCGAUUUUGACAUCAAGUUUUUUUUCUCAAUUAUAUCAUUACAUUUAUAUUUUUGUUACAAUAUCAACCAAUUGACUGGUUCAGAAGAUAUUAUUGUGGUUUAAAAACUCGAUUUGUGCAGUAAAUAAAUGAAGUGUACUUGUGGAAUUCAGAGUGGUGAUAAACAUCAGUUAACCAAUGGAUUAUGUGGACGCCUUUGUAUCAUUCUUUUGGAUGUUCAAGAAACAGAUAAGGCACGCGUUGAUCUUUGAAUGAUAAACACAUUAUAGGGGAACAUGCACUUUGAUUUUGAAUGUUCUUCGAAAAGAGGGAUCCUUACUCCUUAGUAUAUAGGAUCUGUCAGUGUUUGUUUCAAGUCAUGUUACUUCCUUAGAAUAUUUUUUGGUCGUUGAAGGUAUGUGGACAUCUAAUAUGUAGGUUACUUGUAUCGAUAUCUAUGCUCCUCAGGUUUGAUAGAGGAUUCCUUUAAAAGCUUAUUCGAAUCAGGGAAAAGGAUUUUAUUUUAUUUGAUGAUUUAAUGACGUCUAGAUGCAAUCAUAAAGGUACAAAUCAACUUUUUGCAGUCUUCGACAAAUAACUUAAAGAUUUUAACUUCAUUUCACAUUUAAUUUCACAUUUUACCAAUUGUUAAAAGACGUAUGUAACCUUAUUCUCACAUGUACUAUUAUCAACUCAAGAAGGUGGGACAUUGACUCGAUCUCAAUCUGUCAUAUGUCCAAAAGACGUGAAUACCCUCCUCAUCCUCAAUCAUCGAAAAUAACCCUUGAAAGCUUGUUGAGUUUAGUCUAGACAUGUGUACUCUAAUGACAAAAACAAUAUAUAUGUGGAUGUGAAUGUGAAUGCAAUACGAUUUACAUAAAGAGGAAAGAAAUAGAUUUAGGCUUAUUAAAAAUGUGGAUAACAUUAUAUUAUUACUUGAGACACAUAAUAGCUUCAAGUCAAAAUACAAUCAAUAAAACAUGCUAACCUCCCUCUCUUAUUCCUAGAUAAGGAAGAAAGAAGGAAGAAACGAUCAAGACUCCAUAUGUAACACCUUCGGUUUUCAUCUAUCCAUUUGCCACUGCAAACAAGAUUAAAUAUAAUUCAAAGCUUUGGUAACAGAAUGCUUCAAGAAUACUUGUGAAAUUAUAGAGUUAAAAGGGUAUUUGAGUAAUUUUAAACAAGGAGGAAAUCACAUGGAAUUGAAUUCCAACAGAAUUCAAUUAUGUACUCAUAAGUCAUAACAGUGUGAUUGGAAUGUAACUGAAUCCAAAUUCCAGCCAAAGCUAAUAAAAGAAGGAAUAGAAAGGUACCUGGUUAUCCACUUAAAUUUUCAACCGAAUUAACAUCUUCAUCAUCCCCUUCCCUUAUUUUUGCAAUUUCCUCUUGUGCCCUUUCAAGAAUCUGCUUCUUCUGCAAUUCCAACUCUCUCUGAAAAUCCAUCCUCAUCUUCUCCAAAUCCAUCAUCUGCUGUCUUUUUCUACCUUCGAUCUUCUCAUAAAUCUCCCCAAAAUUCUGAACAGAUUCAGCCAACAAUCUAAAUCCAUCAUCAUCUUUCCUGUCAUCAGAAUCAUCUUCAUCAGACUCUGAUUCCCCAGGGCUAUCCCUCAUCUCAUCCAAGGCAUUUGAUUGAUUUAAAUAAACUUUGGUAUUCAUAAACACAUAUUCCCCUGAAUCAACCCCACAAGGCAAACCAUUGUGUUGUUUCUUU